Molecule: ribosomal RNA, 345 nt
Filed under: Scymnus crinitus
Lineage: Eukaryota; Metazoa; Arthropoda; Insecta; Coleoptera; Coccinellidae
Description: partial small subunit ribosomal RNA
Source: RNAcentral
UUUAAAUGUAAUUUUUUAAAAUUAAAUAAUUAAUAGUUAUGGUCUUUAAAGUUAAAUAAUUUGGCGGUGUUUUAGUCUUUUCAGAGGAACCUGUUCUAUAAAUGAUAGUCCACGAUUUUUUAGUUUUAAAUUAGAAGUUUAUAUAUCAUCGUUUUUAAAUAUUUUUUUAGAAUUUAAUAUUUAAAAAAUAUAAUUUUAUUAAAAUUCAGAUCAAGGUAUAGCUUAUAUUUAAAAAGAAAUGGGUUACAAUAUAAAAAUAUUUGAAUUUAAAAUUUAAAAUUUUAAUGAAAUUGGAUUUGAAAGUAAUUAUUUUUUUAAAGAUAAUGAUUUAGCUCUAAAAUAUGC